AGCCGGUGUGCGGUGUACCCGUAGCUCCGAAAUCGUGUCAGCAUUUGAAUACACGUUUCGUUGCUCGGGUGCCCUGCGCAUAUUUCCGGGGUC
RNAcentral lists this microRNA precursor (93 nucleotides) under Ascaris suum (pig roundworm). RNAcentral's name for it is "microRNA asu-mir-100c precursor". Its record names the gene asu-mir-100c. The stretch from base 9 to 79 matches the Rfam family "mir-10 microRNA precursor family". From Rfam's summary of the family: In this case the mature sequence comes from the 5' arm of the precursor. The extents of the hairpin precursors are not generally known and are estimated based on hairpin prediction. The products are thought to have regulatory roles through complementarity to mRNA. The record is from miRBase by way of RNAcentral. Lineage: Eukaryota; Metazoa; Nematoda; Chromadorea; Rhabditida; Ascarididae.